CAAAGGGAUUACCGGUGGCGGAUGGGCAUGCGGCGCAUUAGCUAGUCGGCGGGGUAACGGCCCACCGAGGCGACGAUGCGUAGGGGUUCUGAGAGGAAGGUCCCCCACACUGGUACUGAGACACGGACCAGACUCCUACGGGAGGCAGCAGUGAGGAAUAUUGGUCAAUGGGCGCGAGCCUGAACCAGCCAAGUCGCGUGAGGGAUGACGGUCCUAUGGAUUGUAAACCUCUUUUGCCGGGGAGCAAGCGUGCGUUCGUGAGCGCGCGUCGAGAGUACCCGGAGAAAAAGCAUCGGCUAACUCCGUGCCAGCAGCCGCGGUAAUACGGAGGAUGCGAGCGUUAUCCGGAUUUAUUGGGUUUAAAGGGUGCGUAGGCGGGAUGCCAAGUCAGCGGUAAAAAUGCGGUGCUCAACGCCGUCGAGCCGUUGAAACUGGCGUUCUUGAGUGGGCGAGAAGUAUGCGGAAUGCGUGGUGUAGCGGUGAAAUGCAUAGAUAUCACGCAGAACUCCGAUUGCGAAGGCAGCAUACCGGCGCCCUACUGACGCUGAGGCACGAAAGCGUGGGUAUCGAACAGGAUUAGAUACCCUGGUAGUCCACGCAGUAAACGAUGAAUGCUAACUGUCCGGCUCGAAUGAGCGCUGG
RNAcentral lists this ribosomal RNA (642 nucleotides) under uncultured bacterium. RNAcentral's name for it is "bacterial SSU rRNA". It matches the Rfam family "Bacterial small subunit ribosomal RNA", at positions 202 to 842 of the family's 1533-position model. The record is from RNAcentral.